Molecule: long non-coding RNA, 753 nt
Filed under: Gallus gallus (chicken)
Lineage: Eukaryota; Metazoa; Chordata; Aves; Galliformes; Phasianidae
Source: RNAcentral
CGGCGUAUUUCAGCACUCUUUCAUAUAAAACCAGAGCUUCACUCCACUUCUUGACCAGUACAUAGGACUGUGCAAUGAAGAAACACCUGUAAGCUUUGUACACAAGUGUCUUCAACCCAAUCUCUUUUUGGAAACUCUUGUCCUCCUCCAGGCCAGGAAGCUGUGUCAGUUCCACGAGGUUCUGUAAGAUGAUAUCGUAAAGACGGAUCAGGUCCUGAGGCCGCGGUGUGCGUUUGCCAUCCUCUUCUGAUCGCUGCUGCUGCAGCAGUGCCUUCUGCAGGGACUUGGCCAUGCUCUCAUUGCGCUUAAUGGCGGUGGACAACUUGAUGUAAGUCAAAUAACUGUGUAAGUACUGUAUGUUGGACACCUUCCCAGAAUCACCUUCCAGAGAGUGUUCCCGUUGCUUCUGGUCGGGUUUCAGGUCCUCCCGAACUGCCUGAAUGGCAUCUCUGCACUCACUGAGUAAAGACUCAAACAAACGUUCCCUUGUCUCCUCAUUUUCUGCCUGGACAAUAGCAGCUUCAUUGUCUGCCAGGCCCAGUAAGAAGAUCCUCACUUUGUCUAUCUUCACAGGAACAGUUCUUCCUCUCCACUCCACUUCACUCAUCGUGGCUGCCUGCUUUGCUCGAGUUUGGGUAAUCAGUGCCUCCAGUUUUUCUGCAAGAAGACCUUCAGUGCCACCAGACCUCAGCCUCAUCUGCAUCAACUCAUUCAUAGCCGACUGGUCACCAAUAUUAUAGGCACAGUAACGAA